Molecule: long non-coding RNA, 1716 nt
Filed under: Gallus gallus (chicken)
Lineage: Eukaryota; Metazoa; Chordata; Aves; Galliformes; Phasianidae
Source: RNAcentral
UAUUCCUAUGCAGUACAGCUCCAGUCAUUUGCAAGGCUCUACUCUUCUGCUUUGAGGAAGAAUUAAUUCUCAUUUUGCAUCUGGUGCAGUGAUGACACAGGCCACAAAGAGAAGGUGAGGCUCACAACAGGAGCAGGCUUUGAGGUUCAGGCAGGGAGAGUCAGAUUCAUCAUAUCAUAAAUAUUCAAUUACCUACAUAGAGACUUCAGUGGCAAUUAGCUGGGCUGCUCAUGCUCCCUAGCAUUGUGCAGCUAUACUGUAUUCUGCUAUCACUAAAUAUUUGCUGUUUUCCCCUCAUGCAGAUUCCAAAGGUUUUAAAAGAUUUGGAAACCAAACUAAAUUCAAAUUUACUAUCAGCUGUUCCUAAGUGUGCAUGUGAAAGGCUUUCUGCCAGCGGUUUUCCACUGCUGGGAAGCUUUGCCCUGCACUCCUUGAUGGACUAUGUGAAUGUGCAGAACACAGGUUUUGCAUUUAUUUCUCCCUGCCAAGCCAGGUUCUAAAAGCAGUACAAAGCAUUCUGCAGAACUGAUCCCAAAGCUGUCAAUAUCCAUCAGACUCCCUAAUUUUUUCUCUCCUCUUUCCAUCCCUGUGCUUUCAAGGGUACAAGAGCUGCUCAUUUCCAAGCACCUCUGUAGCCCUCAUCAGGCUCAAAAGAACAGCAAUUUCCUCAUUUUUGAAGGGCUUUUCUUCUCCUUCCUUUCCCUCAUUCAUCUCAUCACAUGAAGUUUUCCUUCUCGUGGCCCAUCACUCUACCUUUACUUUCUUCUCCAUAGCUCAUCACAUCUAUUUAUUUCUCCUCAGCUCCUGUCUCCACAUGUCUACCCAUUCCUCCCCCUCCAGCUCCCUUCUGCCUCCCUCCUACGGACAGCAGCACUGUAGAAUGAGGUUUUGUGAGAAACAGACUUCAUUCCCUCUGUCUCCCCAAUUCUAUGCCUUUGUUUAACAAUCUUUGCCCCUUGCAGGGAGUUUUCUACUUGCCACCAGCUCCUCCCCGGGCUGGGAAGGGGAAGCAGACAUCAUGACACCAGCAAAUAAGGAGAGAAAGGAAAAGAAAAGCACUCUGAAUUCCUGCCUAACAAAGUCCUUGGCUGGUUCUGCUUGCUGCAGCUCAAGGAGAGCGCAGGAGGGAGCCAAGUGCCAGCACAGCACGCAGCGCUUCAGCUCAAGAUGCAGCAAGGUGAAAGCAGCUCCUUCAAGGUCAGAGGGAGACCUUGUCUCUUGUAUGGACCUUGGGCAUUUGCCAUAGGCUUCGUGCAAUAACUACAAUAAAUAAUGUCACAACAGGCUAACUCUUGAGUCAUCAUAUUUACUUAUAAGCAUUUUACCCCUUCAGUAUAUUACGGUUAUCAUAAUUCAGCAUCUCUGCUGCUGGUCCACCUGCUCCUCUGCAACUUGUUGUCUGCCGAGACUGGUCCUGUACUUGAACAGGCCUGCCAGCAUCACCAAGUUGUUGUAAUUUUAACAUGUUUUUCCAGUGCUGAGUCCCCAGCCUAGGUGGAUGCAGCUUUUGAAUGCCAGAAUUCUCUGGGCUCCCUCACGAGCUGUCACAGCUUAUAAGAAGUCUCAUUUUCAUCUCCUGUUACAAGCUUUCUAUGCUCCUUUCUCCAACCACACCUCCCCUAUUUUAUUCCAUUAUUAGAAAAAUCACUGUCCACGAAGAGAUGCAAAGGAUUCUGCUUAGAUAUUUCUUCUCCUAAUAAUGUUUAUAGUGCCCUA